UAGGGAAUCUUCGGCAAUGGACGAAAGUCUGACCGAGCAACGCCGCGUGAGUGAAGAAGGUUUUCGGAUCGUAAAACUCUGUUGUUAGAGAAGAACAAGGACGUUAGUAACUGAACGUCCCCUGACGGUAUCUAACCAGAAAGCCACGGCUAACUACGUGCCAGCAGCCGCGGUAAUACGUAGGUGGCAAGCGUUGUCCGGAUUUAUUGGGCGUAAAGCGAGCGCAGGCGGUUUCUUAAGUCUGAUGUGAAAGCCCCCGGCUCAACCGGGGAGGGUCAUUGGAAACUGGGAGACUUGAGUGCAGAAGAGGAGGGUGGAAUUCCAUGUGUAGCGGUGAAAUGCGUAGAUAUAUAGAGGAACACCAGUGGCGAAGGCGGCUCUCUGGUCUGUAACUGACGCUGAGGCUCGAAAGCGUGGGGAGCAAACAGG
RNAcentral lists this ribosomal RNA (429 nucleotides) under Gemmatimonadota bacterium. RNAcentral's name for it is "Gemmatimonadetes bacterium partial 16S ribosomal RNA". It matches the Rfam family "Bacterial small subunit ribosomal RNA", at positions 355 to 776 of the family's 1533-position model. The record is from RNAcentral. Lineage: Bacteria; Pseudomonadati; Gemmatimonadota.